UACGUAGGUGGCGAGCGUUAUCCGGAAUUAUUGGGCGUAAAGAGCGCGCAGGUGGUUAAUUGAGUCUGAUGUGAAAGCCCACGGCUUAACCGUGGAGGGUCAUUGGAAACUGGUUGACUUGAGUGCAGAAGAGGGAAGUGGAAUUCCAUGUGUAGCGGUGAAAUGCGUAGAGAUAUGGAGGAACACCAGUGGCGAAGGCGGCUUCCUGGUCUGCAACUGACACUGAGGCGCGAAAGCGUGGGGAGCAAACAGG
RNAcentral lists this ribosomal RNA (253 nucleotides) under uncultured bacterium. RNAcentral describes it as "partial 16S ribosomal RNA". It matches the Rfam family "Bacterial small subunit ribosomal RNA", at positions 524 to 776 of the family's 1533-position model. The record is from RNAcentral.